This 503-nucleotide ribosomal RNA is filed under the name Veillonella parvula. RNAcentral describes it as "bacterial SSU rRNA". It matches the Rfam family "Bacterial small subunit ribosomal RNA", at positions 28 to 500 of the family's 1533-position model. The record is from RNAcentral. Lineage: Bacteria; Bacillati; Bacillota; Negativicutes; Veillonellales; Veillonellaceae.
GACGAACGCUGGCGGCGUGCUUAACACAUGCAAGUCGAACGAAGAGCGACGGAAGCUUGCUUCUAUCAAUCUUAGUGGCGAACGGGUGAGUAACGCGUAAUCAACCUGCCCUUCAGAGGGGGACAACAGUUGGAAACGACUGCUAAUACCGCAUACGAUCUAAUCUCGGCAUCGAGGAUGGAUGAAAGGUGGCCUCUACAUGUAAGCUAUCACUGAAGGAGGGGAUUGCGUCUGAUUAGCUAGUUGGAGGGGUAACGGCCCACCAAGGCGAUGAUCAGUAGCCGGUCUGAGAGGAUGAACGGCCACAUUGGGACUGAGACACGGCCCAGACUCCUACGGGAGGCAGCAGUGGGGAAUCUUCCGCAAUGGACGAAAGUCUGACGGAGCAACGCCGCGUGAGUGAUGACGGCCUUCGGGUUGUAAAGCUCUGUUAAUCGGGACGAAAGGCUUUCUUGCGAAUAGUGAGAAGGAUUGACGGUACCGGAAUAGAAAGCCACGGCUAA